RNAcentral lists this ribosomal RNA (676 nucleotides) under uncultured bacterium. Its description in RNAcentral is "bacterial SSU rRNA". It matches the Rfam family "Bacterial small subunit ribosomal RNA", at positions 1 to 669 of the family's 1533-position model. The record is from RNAcentral.
CCCUUAGAGUUUGAUCCUGGCUCAGAGUGAACGCUGGCGGCAGGCCUAACACAUGCAAGUCGAACGGCAGCACAGAGGAGCUUGCUCCUUGGGUGGCGAGUGGCGGACGGGUGAGGAAUACAUCGGAAUCUACCUAUUUGUGGGGGAUAACGUAGGGAAACUUACGCUAAUACCGCAUACGACCUACGGGUGAAAGCGGAGGACCUUCGGGCUUCGCGCAGAUAGAUGAGCCGAUGUCGGAUUAGCUAGUUGGCGGGGUAAAGGCCCUCCAAGGCGACGAUCCGUAGCUGGUCUGAGAGGAUGAUCAGCCACACUGGAACUGAGACACGGUCCAGACUCCUACGGGAGGCAGCAGUGGGGAAUAUUGGACAAUGGGCGCAAGCCUGAUCCAGCCAUGCCGCGUGGGUGAAGAAGGCCUUCGGGUUGUAAAGCCCUUUUGUUGGGAAAGAAAAGCAGUCGGUUAAUACCCGAUUGUUCUGACGGUACCCAAAGAAUAAGCACCGGCUAACUUCGUGCCAGCAGCCGCGGUAAUACGAAGGGUGCAAGCGUUACUCGGAAUUACUGGGCGUAAAGCGUGCGUAGGUGGUUUGUUAAGUCUGAUGUGAAAGCCCUGGGCUCAACCUGGGAAUUGCAUUGGAUACUGGCAGCUAGAGUGCGGUAGAGGGUAGUGGAAUUC